Molecule: transfer RNA, 68 nt
Filed under: Meles meles (Eurasian badger)
Lineage: Eukaryota; Metazoa; Chordata; Mammalia; Carnivora; Mustelidae
Description: transfer RNA-Arg
Source: RNAcentral
UGAUAAUUAGUUUAAUCAAAAUAAAUGAUUUCGACUCAUUAGACUGUAAUCUACAUUACAAUUAUCAA